Long non-coding RNA from Anolis sagrei ordinatus, 431 nucleotides. RefSeq lists it as uncharacterized. Lineage: Eukaryota; Metazoa; Chordata; Lepidosauria; Squamata; Anolidae. The record is from RefSeq and is a predicted model, not a curated record.
GGUUCCCCCCCUCCUUGGAGAUACAUCAGGCACAGGCAAACUUGGGCCGCCAGGUGUUUUGGACUUCAACUCCCACAAUUCCUAACAACCGAUAAAGUUUGGCAAUAAACAAAACCAAACAAGAGAGUUAAAAGAAAUAAACUGACAGGAACAACCAAGAAGAACUUUUAAGAAGAAAAGAAGAAGAGAAGAAAUAUGGAACAAAACAGAAAUAUAAGAAGGUUCAGGAAGGUUUCUAAGACACCCUGGAGAACUAAAUGAUACAACAGAAAUCUUUGAAAACCCAGCCAACAUUCCAACACAUUCCCCCAAAUGAAGAAGAGACUUUCUACCAAUUAGAACUAUAACGCUAUGUAACAAAAUUUGGGGAAAAAAAUCUGUCCCUGGUUUGAAAGUGUUCUUAUACUGCAGAAACUUUGUUUUCGUGACUG